GAUGAACGCUGGCGGCGUGCCUAAUACAUGCAAGUAGAACGCUGAAGGAGGAGCUUGCUUCUCUGGAUGAGUUGCGAACGGGUGAGUAACGCGUAGGUAACCUGCCUGGUAGCGGGGGAUAACAAUUGGAAACGAUAGCUAAUACCGCAUAAGAGAAGAUGUUGCAUGACAUUCGCUUAAAAGGUGCAAUUGCGUCACUACCAGAAGGACCUGCGUUGUAUUAUCUAGUGGGUGGGGUAAGGGCACACCAAGGCGACGAUACAGACCCGACCUGAGAGGGUGAGCGGCCACUGUGGGAGUGAGACGCGCCCCAGACUCCUACGAGGGGCAGUAGGGGAACUUCGGCAAUGGACGGAAGUCUUACCGAGCAACGCCGGGGGAGUGGAGGAGGUUUUCGGAUUGUAAAGCUCUGUUUUUAGGGAAGGACGAGUGUGAGAGUGGAAAGUUCACACUGUGACGGUAUCUUACCAGAAAGGGACGGCUAACUACGUG
RNAcentral lists this ribosomal RNA (492 nucleotides) under uncultured bacterium. RNAcentral's name for it is "partial 16S ribosomal RNA". It matches the Rfam family "Bacterial small subunit ribosomal RNA", at positions 28 to 507 of the family's 1533-position model. The record is from RNAcentral.